RNAcentral lists this ribosomal RNA (477 nucleotides) under uncultured bacterium. Its description in RNAcentral is "partial 16S ribosomal RNA". It matches the Rfam family "Bacterial small subunit ribosomal RNA", at positions 28 to 507 of the family's 1533-position model. The record is from RNAcentral.
GAUUAACGCUGGCGGCGUGCAUAACACAUGCAAGUCGAACGAUGAAACUUAAAUGAUUUCUUCGGAAUGAACUUAAGUGGAUUAGUGGCGGACGGGUGAGUAACGCGUGAGUAACCUGCCUUACACAAGGGGAUAGCCGUUGGAAACGACGAAUAAUACCCUAUGAAACUAUCACUUCGCAUGAAGCGAUAGUCAAAGUGUUAGCGGUGUAAGAUGGACUUGCGUCUGAUUAGCUAGUUGGUGAGAAAAAAGCCCACCAAGGCAACGAUCAGUAGCCGGCUUGAGAGAGUGUACGGCCACAUUGGGACUGAGACACGGCCCAGACUCCUACGAGAGGCAGCAGUGGGGAAUUUUGCACAAUGGGGGAAACCCUGAUGCAGCGACGCCGCGUGAUUUAGAAGGCCUUCGGGUUGUAAAAAUCUUUUGUAUAGGAAGAAAAUGACAGUACUAUACGAAUAAGGUCCGGCUAAUUACGUG